This 25379-nucleotide long non-coding RNA is filed under the name Elaeis guineensis (African oil palm). RNAcentral's name for it is "long non-coding RNA (EGUI_LNC041896)". Lineage: Eukaryota; Viridiplantae; Streptophyta; Magnoliopsida; Arecales; Arecaceae. The record is from RNAcentral.
GGCUGAACUGCUCCUAUCUUCAGAUCUCACGGACUCCUCCGAAAUCGAAGACAGACAAGGAGGAUCAGAUGAUGGGAUAAAAAGAUAGAGAAUUUCUUUCUCUCUUGGUUUUUUCCCAAAAAUCCUAGAUCUGAUCUAGGUAUCUCACUAAAGAGGAGAAGGUUCUCCUCUAUGCUCACACACCCAAGAUGGCCGUCCAACCCCAAAACCUCACACCCAAAACCCUAGCCUCACACUAGAAACUUUUUCCUCUAUUUUCUCUCUUUCUUGUUUUGUUGCACAAAACUCAAGGCUUCUUAUAGAUGGCAUGGAUAGGGAGAAAGAGUCCAAGUUCAAAUCAAAUUCGAAUCAAGAUAAGGAUCAAGUUUCACACUGAAUUCAAAUCCAAUUUAAAUUCAACUAGAACCAAAUCUUGUCUCAUCCUUAGUGCUCUCAGAGUGGGCGACAUAAAACCUUUUAGCAUGGAGUUUCUCAUGCAAAUCUGAAUUUGCAUUGAGGUGUGGGUAGGUGCACAAGGGUGGUCGGUGUUAGAGAGGAGUCCAAGUUGAUUUGGACUCUUAGGUUUUAUCCAAUAGGUCUUCAACCUAAUCAAAUUAGGUUAGACCCAAUUGAAUAACUUGAACCCAAUCUAAUUAGGUUCAAACUUGAUUAAAUCAAAAUUUAAUUAAGUCCAAUUUCUGAUCAAAUCAAAAAUUAAUCACCCUUAGCAAUUAGGUCAUCUCAUAACCAAAUCGGAUCAAAUCAAAUCGAAUCCAAUUCAAUUAGACUUGAACCAAAUUACAUUGCUUAGUCAAAUUAAGCUAAUCAGUAAUCUAAUUGCUUAUCAAUCUUUCUUUAAUUCACCAACUCUUAGUAAAUUAAUCUACUAUAAUAUUUGCAUCAAGUUAACCAUAAAUAAUAUUGAUGAUUAAACUCAAGAAUGAUUUUCAAUCAUUGAUCAGCCACUUGAUCACAUAUAAAUUUUUUUAAGUGUGAUCCCAUAGAUUUGAACUUAAGCUGAUAGCAUAAGAAUAACUAUCUAAACUAAUUGAUGUAACCAUCUAGCAAUAGAAUCUAACAUCUGGAUAGGUCGAAUGAUUGUAAAGCAACAUUCAAGAAUCUACUGGCAUAUGGUUACCGUAUAAUUCAUCUUUUUGAUCCUAAUACUCAAGGUGACCUAGGAUUUAACUGUCGAUCUUGAAAUAGUCAACCACAUUAUAUCUUAACCUUUCAAAUCUAUUACAUGAAUUUUUCUGAUCAAGAUUUUACUAAAUUAAAAUAUAGUAAUGUAUUAACUCCUAAAUCUGGAGAGGUCAAUCCCAUCUUGACUUGCACACCAAUUUAACAAGUACUUGACUGCACUCAAAAAUCUUUCAUCACUGAAUUAAAAAUUCAGAUAAUUCGAUACCAAAGUAUAGUGAGUUUCUUGUAAGUCACCAUGAUGAUCUUAGAUUGGAGGAACACUUAUAUCCAUUCCCUUCACGAGCUACUGUUGACAGCAGAGUGCUUUGCAGUUGGUUACGUUUGGUACAAAUGUACUCUUAUAUUUUACCUGCAUGCCAUACCAAUGUCUCCACACUCCUUGGUUAAGAGGACAACCAACCCAUAUGGCAUACAAUGAUCUACACUUGAUAUCGCUAUCAUCCUAUUAAUAGCGUAUUGUUUGGCUGUAAAUAAGUUUAAUGACUAAAUGAUAAAUCCUCUUUUAUCAAUUUAAAAUAGUCCUAAAGACUUCAUCACAACACAGGAGUUCAUAUAGAAAAUGUACAAAAAACUUGUGAUGAGUAAUGCUAAAUAAUUUUUAUUAUUAAAAAAUUCAUAUACAAUUACAAAAUGAGCACAACCAUCAAUAGACUAAAGAUUGAUUUUGAGACACAAUUUCUAACAACUCCCACUUGGACUAAAGCCAAUCAAUAUAGUAUUGCAAAUCCAUCUUCAAUUUAUGAUUAUCGAACUCCUUGACAUUAAGGGCUUUAGUAAAUGGAUCAGCUAGAUUCUUCUUUCCUUCGAUCUUCUGGAGAUCGACAUCAUCUCGAUCCACGAUCUCCUAGAUCAGGUGGUAGUGGCGUAGUAUAUGCUUGGUGUAUUGAUGGAACUUCGAUUCCUUCAUUUGAGAAAUGAUGCCAGUACUGUCGCAAUAUAACAGGAUCAAACCAUCGAUGUAGGGUGCCAAUCCGAGUUCGUCGAUGAACUUCUGCAACCAUACAGCUUCCUUUGUAGCAUCGGAUACCUCAACAUACUCCACCUCACAAAUUGAGUCAGCCACGAUGUGCUGCUUAAAAUUUUUCUAGUAGACUGCUCUACCAUUCAGGAUAAAUAUAUAUCCUGACAUGCUCUUGCUAUCGUCAUGAUCUGACUGAAAGUUAGAGUCUGUGUACCCCAUAAGUUUCAAAUCAGAUUCUCCAUAAAUGAGCUACUGGUAUUUAGUAUUUCUCAAAUACUUGAGAAUAGUUUUCACAACCUUCCAAUAAUUUUCUCCUGGAUCAGACUGAUACUUGCUCACUACCCCUAGUGAGUAGACAACAUCUGAUCUCGUACAUGUAAUGACGUAUAUGAUGAAUCUCACUGUUGAAGCAUAUGGAAUACUACUCAUACACUCUCUUUCAUGAAGGAUUGUCAGACAAUCCCUCUUUGAAAGAGAAAUUUCAUGGACUAUCGAAAGAUAGCUUUUCUUAAAAAUCUCCAUACUAAACCACUUCAGCACGGUAUCGUUGUACGUGAACUGGGAUAAUCCAAGCAAUCUCUUCGAUCUAUUUUUAUAAAUCUUCAUCUCAAAGAUGUAGGAUGCUUCUCCCAAAUCCUUCAAAGAGAACUGAGAUGACAAUCAAAUCUUUAUUUUUUGUAAUGCAGGGACGUCAUUCUCGAUUAAAAGAAUAUCAUCUACAUACAAAAAAAGAAAUACAACUACAAAACUAUUUACCUACUUGUAGAUGCAGGGUUCUUCUCUAUUCCUAAUGAAGCCAUAUGUUUGGAUCACCUUAUCAAAAUACAUAUUCCAACUCCUGGAGGUCUGCUUCAAUCCAUAAAUAGAUCUCUAAAGCUUGCAUACUUUCGACUCAUCUGUGAAUGUGAACCUUUAGGUUGUGUCAUAUACACCUCUUCUUUUAGCUCUCCAUUUAGAAAAGUAGUUUUUAUAUCCAUUUGUCAAAUUUCAUAAUCUAAAUGUGCCACUAUCACAAAUAUAAUCUGAAUAGAUUUGAGCAUUGUCAUAGGAGAAAAUAUCUCGUCAUAGUCAAUACCAUAACAUUGACGAUAUCUCUUAACAACCAGAUGGACUAUAUAGGUCUCCAUCUUUUUGUCUGUGUCCUUCUUCCUUUUGAAAAUUCACUUACAUUCUAUGGAUUUUACCCUUUCAGGUGGGUCAACUAAUGUCCGUAUAUCAUUGACCUUCAUGGAUUUUAUUUUAGACUUCAUGGCUUCAAGCCACUUAUCAGAGUCAGAGCAUCCAUAUAGGUGAUCAGAUCCUCAUUGUUCUCAUCGAGUUCAGUAGGAUCACCAUCUCAGACCAAAAAAUCAUAAUAUCUAUCCAACUGACACACGCGGUACUCUAUCGGAUCUCCAUAAUGGUGCAUCUACAAUAGGCUCAGGGUUUGAUCCAAUCAAAUCUUGUUCUUUAGGUUCAUUAGAUUAUGUCGGUUCAUCUACCAUCGAACUUUAUCAAGUUCAACCUCUAGAGGCAUUAGUUCCUUCAUCAAGGAACUCCUUUUCUAAAAAGAUUGCUUUAAGGUUGACGAACAUCUUUUGUUCAUCAGCAAGGUAAAAAUAAUAUCCCUUAGUUUCUUUUAGGUAUGCUAUGAAAAUAUACUUCUCUGACCUAGGUUUGAGCUUGUUUGUAAUUAAAUGCUUCACAUAAGCUGGACAUCCCCAGAUCCUAAGGUGUGAGAACAUCGACUUACGCCCUAUCUAUAUCUCAUAUGGUGUUUUGCUCAUAGACUUACUCAAAACUCUAUUAAGUACAUAGCAAGCCAACUCAAAUGCAUAUCCCUAAAAGGAGAUCAACAGACUAAUAAAGCCCAUCAUGGACUGAACUAUGUCCAACAGUAUUUGAUUCCUCUUUUCUGAUAUACUAUUAUACUAUGGCAUCUCAAGAGGGAUCCAUUAUGAGAAAACCCAUUCUCUCCUAGAUAUGUCAGAAACAUACUGGUGAGGUACUCAACCCUUCAGUCAGACCAAAGAGUUUUAAUACUCUUUUCAGUUUGUUUCUCUAUCUCAUUAUGAAAUCAUUUGAACAUUUCAAACGAUUCUGACUUAUGUUUUAUCAAGUAAAUGUACCCAUACAUAAAUAGGUCAUUUACGAAUGUAAUGAAAUAGUGAUAUCCACCUCUGGCACUUGUGUUCAUGGGUUCACAUACAUCAGUAUGUAUUAGAUCUAGAACAUCACUAGCUCGUUCACCUUUUUCAGUAAAAGAUGACUUAGUCAUCUUUCCAAAAAGACAAGACUCAUAGGUAGGUAAUGAUUCACAAUUAUUGACUUUGAGAAUUUUCUUUUGGAUCAACCUAUUCAUCCUAUUCUUGUUAAUAUGACCUAGCCUACAAUAUCAAAGGUAGGCAUCCGUAACAUCAUCUAUCCUAAGGUGUUUAUUCGAUGUGUACAUUACACUAGACAGUGAUACAAUGCAAAUACCAUUAUUUAAUUAUCCAUUCAUCACAGUAACACCAUUCAAAAUGACAUUACAAGAACUAUUCUUUAUUGAAAUCUUAUAAUUUUUUUGGCCAAAAGGCCUACAAAAAUUACAUUUAAUAGAAAUGAAGGAUAAAAGUGACAAUCACUAAAAAAAAUGAUAUGAGAAUUGAAUACAAGCUUGAUAAUUUUUAAGGCUAGAACUGAAACUGAUCUUCCAUCUUCAACGUUUAGGAAUCUCUCACCGUCCUCAAAUCUCUUAUUGAUCUAAAGUCCCUGCAAUGAAUUAUAAAUAUUAAUUGGACUACUAGUAUCUAAUACGUAGGUCACAGUACAUAAAUAGAGAAGUUGCAAGAUAUUAUCAUAUAAUUAUCUUGCCCAGCAACUACUUCCUUUUUUUUAUUCGACCUGUUCGGAUCAAGGGAACUUUGUAUUAAAGAUAGUUUCUCUUUCAAUGAUCCUGUUUCUUAUAGUAGAAGCAUUCUAUCUGACUCUGAUUGGACUUAGACUUAGAUUUCUUGGUCUGACACCUAGCAUGUUGCAUCCUUGUAUUUUUCUUUUUUCCUUUCUUAAAGGGAUGAUACUUCACUAAGGAUCCUCCUACUACAUUCACCAUCUCCUUGUGGAGCUGGUAAUCCUUCUCAAAAGUCUGUAACAACUGUUGGGUUCUGGUGAUGCAGCAAAAUAUGAAUUUUAAAAAUUUUAACAUGUAUUCAAUAUUUGAAAAUAAUGUUUAACAAUUAAACAAGACCAUCGGAACACAAAAUCUUAGGAACCCCUUGGUGAUUACAAUCAAACAUCAAAAAUAUACAUAUCAAGAGAAGAUCAAAAGUCAUAUACCAUCAUGAAGAUCAUGAAAUGAUAAUCUUAAGAUCUCCACAAGACUUCAAAGAAGAAGCCCUCCAAUGGUGAUUCACAUGGGACUGAUCAGGAUCCUUUCCAAUUCGUCAUGGCACUGCAGCCUUCUUCACAAGCUUGCUGCUGAUCAUCCUUCGUAAGAACGGAUUGCAUCACUCCUUGUAUUCUUUCAAGACCUCUACUAAGACCUUUUUAGGAAUCCUUUCCCAAAAGAUGUUACCAUACAUAAAUGAGAUUUUAUGUUCAACACAUGAACAAUCUGAUUUCUGGAUAAGUAUCUCAUACUUUUCAUUUUCUCUCUUCCCUUCCUUUCUAUUUUUCUCUCUUUUCAUUGCCUUUUUUCAAUUCAGAUUUUUUUUAACUCUUUCUUAUCUAAUCCCACAUCCAAAAUAAUUUUUAGAUGAUUUUUAUGCCAUAUGGGAUGCCCCUUAUAUAAGGAAUGAAGGGGCACCACAUAAAACACCAAGGGGUGCCAACUUUUGGCGUCCCAUCUCCCUUACACGGUAUCCAUAAAUUUUUUUUCAGGGAAACCAAGGAACUGACAUGAAAAAAGAAGUGAUUGACCAAUAGAAGGACUCUUCCUCUGCUAAAAAAAAAUUAAUACACCAUCUUAAGAUGCGUGGAAAGGGAUUUAAUGUGAGAAAUCAAGAGUCCUUAACAAUUAAGACUCUUCCACAUUGAAUACAUAUAUGUGAGGCAUCCCUUAUUAUUUGGCAUUCAAAUUCCUUCCAAGAGAAGGACUCUUCCUCCUCUUCCACAUCUUAUAUCUCAAGCACCAUCAUAUGUCAUGAGGAAUUAAGGAAAAUAUAUGGAAUUAUAUAAGGAAAUUAAGAGGAGUGAACCAGAAGGACUUUUUCUCUUAAACGCCCAAAUAAAAGAUGCCAUAUUUAUUUUCUCGUGUGGUUUUGAUGUGGAGGUGAUGGAUUCACAUGGAACUCUUUCAUAUAAACCAGAUGAACCAACUAAUAAAUAGAUGGUUCAAACCCAAUCACAUUAGGUCAAGACAAAAAAGUUUAGGUUAGCACAAACAAGUCUAGGUUAGCACUAAACCCAAUUGAAAACUUGGGUUAAUUCAUAUGCUAGCAAUUUAAUUAACCCGUUGAAUUUAUAAUAAAUUUAAAUAGAUUGGAUCAAAAUCAAAUUUUUAUUAUGUGUGACCCAUUGGGUUCCAAAUCUAGCCAGCAAUGGAUCCAGACUCUCGACGUAAUCCUAAUCGAUUGGAUUAGGUCAGGUCAAUAGUCCCAAUCAACUAGGACUCUUCCUAAUUGAUUCUUGAAUUAAACUCUUUUAAUUCUGAUAAGUUCAUAAGUCAAGAUUGAUAUCUAGUAAUGUCUCAUGACUAUCCAGAAGAUUUGAAAUUUGAUAAAAAUAUCAAAAUUAUCCUUCCAUAGUGAGUUAUCGUGCAAUUCAAUCUUUCGAUCACACAACAUCUCAGAAAGGCCAUGGGUAUGAAAAUAUGUCAAACCCAAAUACCUAACCAUAUGUAUCUCAAUCCGAUGAUGAUGACUCGAUUGAUGAAUCAGUAGAAAUUAUUUUUACUGUUCAUCUUUGCUCUGGCCAGAGACUCUCAGAGUCACCAUCCUAUGAGAUCACAUAGGAUGUUCUCUUCUCCUACAAGGAGUGACCGAUUUCUUAUUGACCACUCACAACCUUUAUGUAUACUUCACCAUAUCCAGAAUAUCCCACACACAUCUUCAAGUAGUGUGCUAGGGAAUAAACUAAAGUAAGAGUCCAUGUACAUAAGGUACCAUGAUAAUCUCAGAUCAAAGGAUCACAUGCACUACUCCUACUGAAGAACCAUUUAUUGACAUGCUGAAGGCUCUAUCAGAUAUUCUUUUUGCAGGUCAGUUCAGUGAACUCAUUCUCUAAUAAGCACCUACAUCCUUGUCUUAGUGUCACCACACAAGUGAUUGUGAGAUCAACCACCCUCUCCAUCGAGCAUACAUAGGAUGUACCNNNNNNNNNNNNNNNNNNNNACAUUAUCUCAUCGUAGGACCCUAAAAUCAUUGCCUUAAUCUAUAGGGUUUCUCAUAAUCAUAUAAAUAUGAUGCAGCAAAUGAUAAAAUAUAAUAAUACCUCAUAAAAAAAUAACUAAUGCCAUGCAAAUAAGUAGGAAGAUAAUAAAGAAAAGUUUCUUCACAUCCCUAUGCGAUUGGCUUGUAGGAUACUAUUCUUUCAAUCUUCCACUUGCACUAAAGCCAAUCAUCCCUGUACUUUAUGCCCAUACUAUCAGGGUGGCAAUUACACUGCUGCUGUAUAAGGCUUAGUGAACUGGUCCAUUAUGAUAUUCUUAAUAUUAACUCAUUUUAUGAUCAUAUCAUGAAUGAGGUGAAAGUGCCUAAGAUGUGUGUGGGUACACAGUGAGACCAGACCCAACUCAAUGAUAAACCUUUCAUCAGGCAACUUUCUUUAGCAAUCUUUACUAACAGUAAUUAAUUGAGUCAAACACAGUUUGCUGUUUGAAACUCUUCCAAUUCACUGCUCUUCUAGUACUUCUCAAGUACUAUGAGAAUGCUUUUCAUAAUUUUCAAAAGAUCCUAUCAUGAAUCUGCCUGAAAAUCAAUGAUUAUGCAUAGAACAUAAUACACAUCAAGCUUGGUACAAUGAAUAUAUGGGUAAGUAAACUCCUUUACACCUAUUCAUAUUGAACCCUUUCAAUAUAAAUUUUAUAUACCUAGAAUGGGAUAAGCUCUGCAUCCACUUAUAUCUAUCCCUAUAGAUGCCUAGUAUAUUGGAUGCUUAACCCAAAUCUUAUUUCAUGAAAAUAUUUGUAAUAAGUAUAUCAUUGAUCGAGUGCAAUAUUGGGACUACCUUUCCAAUAUGCUGUAUGUCACCUACAUACAUAACCAAAAAAUUAGUGGGACUCCCACUUGUCUUCUUGUAAACAUACACGGUUUAUCUAUACUUGAUAAAGUCAAAUAUUUUGACUAUUUCAUCAAAAAUAGAGGUACCAUCUCCUUAAAAAUUAUCUGAAUUCAUAAAUGCAUUUGCCCUCCCACUAGAGACAACUUCUCUAGAUGGUGCGUGGUAAUAGCAAUAAUCUAGAUUGACAUCCUUGAUAGCAACCUAUUGGGUCAUACCCAUAGGUGCUCAACCACAGUCCAUACUUAGUUGAUGUUCAGGGUGUUUAUUUCGGAUAUCAAGAUUUCAGACCAACUGUUAGAGUUUCUACUCAUGACGAUCUCCGAAUAGAUCAAGAAAAAUAUUAUUCACAAUAAUAUAUGGUAUAUCAUCAUUCUCAAUGAUAAAUCCAUAUUUGAGUAGUACAUUACACACUCAAAUUGACCUUCGAUGAGAAGGUGUGUUUUAUGGUUGUGCCUCAUCAAUGAGCACAUCUGGUCGAGGAUUAACUUGUGAAUACUACACAGGUUAGGAAAAUUCAUAGAUCUUGAACUUCUCAAGUUCAAUUAUCCUCCCACUGUCUCCUUGUUAGAAAAAAUUUCUUUUCCUAAAAGGUGGUAUACCUACUUGAUAAAAUAUCUUUUGUCUAGUAGGAUGGUAGAAAUAGUAUCACAUACUACUCUUUAGGAUAACUUAUAUACUAAUAAAAAUCUAUCCUAGCACAAACUUAUGUAAAUCAACUCUUUUCACAUAAGUUGGACAACCUGUCUUUUGCCUUUUCCAUAUCUCAUAUAGAGUGCUCGUAAUAGAUUUUGAUGGUAUCUAAUUCAAAAUAUAUACAGCAAUUUCUAGAGUAAAUCUCCAGAAUGAGAAUCAAAAUUUGUGAAGCAUAUUAGAGAACACACCAUAUCUCAUAUGGGAUAUCCAUCUCUGAGUCAUGAUGUUAUUAGCCUUCGAACAUCCAUAUGUUCAAGACCUAAUAUCUUACUUGCCUUUUUUUAUGUCCAAUAAAUGGCAUCUUGAUCAUUUUAUCCAUGAGAUAAGAUUUAUAAAUUUUAUAUGAUUCAUAAUUAUACAGACAAAGAACUCUUCUUUGCAUUACUUGUUUAUCUUUGACUCACAAAAAUAGCCAAGUUGGCAAUACCCAAGAUAUGUGACCAUCACAUAUUCAUUUCUUAUUCUUAUCAAUAUUAAGAAUAAUAUCAUUGAGUGACAGAAAUAUAAGACCAUAGCCAUAAAUUUUUUUAGAAGGAGAGUAAUUUUUACUCUUAACAUUAAUUUCAAAUCUAUGUUACAAUAACUUAGGGAUUGAAAUAAUAUUUCUGAUAAACAAUGGUCUAGUUUCUAAAUAAGUAGGUUCGUACAGCCUUAGCAUGAAUGGACUAUCCAUCAGUGCCAAAAUGCGAGUAGUCACCUUACUUUAGCUUUAUAGGUCCAGCAAUACUUUGCAUAAGUAGAAUCUAUAUAAGGUAUCACAUACCUAAAAUUUUGAAGUUGAAAAAUACUCAAUGAUAAUUAAUUUGUAUCUCAUACAAAUUAUUAGCAGAUGCAACUUUUAUAUCCUACUAUUGCUUCAUAUUUGCAAGAUAAUUCUUGUAAUUUAGUGCUCAUCAUUGUUGUAAUGAUAUUAGAUACUUAUAGUGAAGACAUUCUUCACCUUCUUCUCCUAAGGGAUACUAAAGAAGAAAUUAAGGAGAGUUAGCAGGAUCUAAUCCUAAAAUAACUCAUCAUCCAUGAUUAUAACCUAAUCGGAUGAUUAAGUUAAUCAGGAUACACUUUGACAGUCAUACCGUCAUCCUCAUCAUAUCUCAUAUGCGAUUUUUUCUUCUAUACAGUAUCAACUCUGAUUAAAUUAAAAUUAGGAGAAUAGGAUACUUUCUCCUAUAUGAGAAUUAUUCUCUAGUUCCUCAACCAUUCCAUGAUGUUCGAUCAAUUUUAAAACAAUCCUAUGCAGUGCUAAUAAAGAUGCAUAAGUAUAAAUAAGAACAUAAAAAGAAUUACUCAUGAUGACAUACACAAGUUAGAUGAAGAUUUUAUUUAAUUGAGUCUCCCACUAUUUUAACAAAUUUUAUAGCCCUCAAGUAUGAAAUCGAAGAACCUUAUUAUGAAGUUUUUUAGUGGGGUUGAGAUCUCAAGUCCUCAUAAAAAGUUUUGUGGAUAGUACAACAAGCUCCUAUGAGUUCAAGGGUAAGUAACUCUUUACUAAUUGCAUCUCAUACAACUCUCAGCAUAACUUUUGCCUCUAAAAUACUUACAGCCUUGUGGAUAGCACAACAAACUAUAGUAUUUUAGUUAAGUCAUAUCCUUCAAUCUUAUAUGGUCAUACCUGAAUAAUACUAUCCUUGUGGAUAGCACAACAAGACAAUAUUACGAGAAUAUGUCAUAAGCAUCACUAAGUCAACAUCAUACCAACUACUAUAGCAAGUUUUGUGGAUAGCACAACUAACUCACUAUAGUUUUUAAUAUAUUCUAUUGAUCUAGUAUGAGCUAAAUAUAAUUAGCUUCAUUAUGCACUAAGAUAGUAUCAAACCAAUCCCCACAAUAAACCUUGUGGAUAGCACAACAAGUCUACUAUGGUUCUUGAGAUAAUACUGGCUUAGCAUGAAGGAAGGUAUGGAUAGUGUUCUUAACACUUCACCAUUAUGACUUAAUAUAAUUUGAAUGAGGGACUUUAGGUGUCAAGCACAUCCUAAACAUUUAAUUAUGCAAUAUAUGUAAUUUAAAUUUAUAACUACCAGCAUGUAAGAGCAUAUAUAAAGGAAGACAAAUAGUUAUGGACUUUUGAAAAAAUCAUCUGAGCCACAAUAUGAUUAAUGGGUCUAACCCUAGGUGCAUCAUAGAUUGAACCAUCUCAUGGUCAAUCUUAAUGCACCUCUGCUCUCUAAAAAUCUAAUAGUCAAGUCUUCAUCAUCAUGAAGUCUACCAUGAAUGCUUGAUCUUUUAUUUGAAAAUAGAAAGAAAUAAUUUCUAUCUGUUCUCAAAUAAUUUUUUUCUAUAAUUUUACAUCAAUAUGUAAAAAUCCCAUUCAACAGUUGAAAAUAUCGAAAAAAAAAGUUCAGCUGAUAAUAUAAUGCAUCAAGGGCACCUAACCCUUAUUGCAACUCUUGCAGAUGCAUUAAUAUAAUCAACUAAUUGGAAAGCAUUCAUGCAUACAUCCAUCACAUGGGUGUUCCAUAGUCCAUAACCAUAUAACAAGCAUUUUAUAAUAAUUAUAAAAUAUUAUAAUUCAUAUUAUUUUUAUUGUGAUAUCAUUCAUACACAUGUCAAUUAAGAUGUUCAAAUUUAUGGGCAUAAGACUCAUCUUAGGAUUUUUUGAUUCAGGUUCAACUCUUGACCCAAAUAUUAACUUUAAAUCAUAUCAUUUGUCAUUCUUUUGAGUUAGGUUGAUUUAUUCUUAAAUUAACCCUAAUCCAAUUAGGUUAGCAUAGACUCGAUCAACUAUGACUCAAAUCCUAAUCAAAUUAGAUAAAUGACAAUUAGAUCAACCUAAAUAAAAAUAUGAAUUCUAAUCAAAUUAGAACUAAAAAUUUGAUUUAAUCUAUAAUCAUUAAUUUUAAAUACUUUAUAUCAAUAAAUUAUAGUUAAAUCAAUCUAUCGGCAAAAAUCCUAAUCCAUGUCUGAUGCAUCAUUUCCAUGAUCAAAAAUUUUUUGGCCCCACACAUACCUCGAGCAUCAAUCAAGAUGGUCAACCCACAAUGGUGAGUGCCUGAUAACAUGGUGGCCUGCGCUUGGAUUUUAAGUGAAUACAUCAAAUGUAAAAAUUCUAAGUCUUGGCAAUCUACAUCCAUAUGUAUUAUUCCAAGGCACUAUGCAUCACAUGCAUUGGAUUUCAAUUCCAUCAAAAAUUAGAUCAUGAGAUCUAAUCUUAAACUUAUCUUACAAGUCUAAAAACCAUGGAAUUCACAUAUCCAAAAUUUGAUCAUGGAGAUAACAUUUAUCAUUUACAAAAAUAUAUUAUAAACAUCAAUCAAAAAAUUUGAUUUUGACAUAGUUUGAAUUGGAUCUAAUCCAUAUCACAAAAAUAAUAUGAAAUUUAACUGAAUCAAUCAAGGGUGGCUUUGAUAUCACUGUUGAAUUUUGGUGAUGCAGCAAAAUAUAAAUUUUAAAAAUUUUAAUAUGUAUUCAACAUUUGAAAAUAAUGUUUAACAAUUAAACUAGAUCAUCGGAACAUAAAACCCUGGGAACCCCUUGAUGAUUACAAUCAAACAUCAGAAACAUACAUAUCAGGAGAAGAUCAAAAGUCAUAUACCAUCAUGAAGAUCAUGAACUAGUAAUCUUAAUAUCCCCACAAGACUCCAAAGAAAAAGUCCUUCAACGGUGAUCUACACGGGACUGAUCAGGGUCCUUCCCAAUUCGUCAUGGCACUGCAGCCUUCUUCGCAAGCUCGCUGCUGAUCGUCCUUCGCAAGAACGGAUUGCACCACUCCUUGUAUGCCUUCAAGACCUCUACUAGGAUCUCUUUAGAAACUCUUUCUCAAAAGAUGUUAUCACACACAAAUCAAAUUUUAUGUUCAACACAUGAACAAUCUGAUUUUUGGACAAGUAUCUCAUACUUUUCUUUUUCUCUCUUCCCUUCCUUUCUAUUUUUCCUUCUCUUUUCAUUGUCUUUUUCACUUUAGAUUUUUUUCACCUCUUCCUUAUCUAAUCCCACAUCCCAAACAAUUUUUGGAUGAUUUUUAUGCCAUAUGGGAUGCCCCUUAUAUAAGGAAUGAAGGGGCACCACAUAAAACACCAAGGGGCACCAACUUUUGGCAUCCCAUCUCCCUUACACGGUAUCCAUAAAUUUUUUUUUCACAAAAAUCAAGAAAAUGACAAGGAAAAGGAAGUGAUUGACUUGUAGAAAGACUCUUCCUCUACUAAGAAAAAAUUAAUACACCAUCUUAUGGUGCAUGGAAAGGGAUUUAAUGUGAGAAAUCAAGAGUCCUUAACAAUUAAGACUCUUCCACAUUGAAUGCAUAUAUGUGAGGCGUCCCUUAUUAUUUGGCAUUCAAAUUCCUUCCAAGAGAAGGACUCUUCCUCCUCUUCCACGUCCUAUAUCCCAAACACCAUCAUAUGUCAUGAAGAAUUAAGAAAAAUGCAUGGAAUUAUAUAAGAAAAUUAAGAGGAGUGAACCAGAAGGACUUCUCCUCUUAAAUGCCCAAAUAAAAGAUGUCAUAUUUAUUUUCUCGUGUGGUUUUGACAUGGAGGUGGUAGAUUUACAUAGAACUCUUUCAUAUAAAUCAGAUAAACUAACUAAUAAAUAGAUGGUUCAAAAUCAAUCACAUUAGGUCAAGGCAAACAAGUCUAUGUUAGCACAAACACCUUUGCACUGAGCCUAAUUGAGAACUUGGGUUAAUUCAUGUGCUAGUAAUUUAAUUAACCCAUUAAAUUUAUAAUAAAUUCAAAUAGAUUGGACCAAAAUCAAAUCUCUAUUGUGUGUGACCUAUUGGGUUCUAAAUCUAGCCAGUAGUGAAUCCAGACUCUCGACGUAACUCUAAUCCGAUUAGAUUAAGUCAGCUCAAGAGUCCCAAUCAACUAGGACUCUUCUUAAUUGAUUCUUGAAUUAAACUCUUUUAAUUCUGACAAGUUUAUAAAUCAAGAUUGAUAUCUAGCAACGUGUCAUGACUACCCAGAAGAUUUAAAAUUUGAUGAAAAUAUCAAAAUUAUACUUCCAUGGUGAGUUACCAUGCAAUUCAAUCAUUCGAUCACACAACAUUCCAGAAAGACCAUGGGUAUGAAAAUAUGUCAAACCUAAAUAUCUAACCAUAUGUAUCUCAAUCUGAUGAUGAUGACUCGAUUGAUGAACUAGUGAAAAUUAUUUCUAUUGUUCAUCCCUGCUUUGGUCAGAGACUCUCAGAGUCACCAUCCUAUGAGAUCACAUUAGAUGUUCGUUUCUCCUACAAAGAGUGAUCGAUUCUUUGUUGACCACUCACAACCUCUAUGCACACUUCACCAUAUUCAGAAUAUUCCAUACAUAUCUCAAAGUGGUGUACUAAAGAAUAAAUCAAAGUAAGGUUCUAUGUACGCAAGGUAUCAUGGUGAUCUCAUGUCAAAGGAUCACAUGCACUACCCCUACUGAAGAACUAUCUAUUGACAUGCUGUAAGGCUCCAUCAGAUAUUUUUUUUUGUGGGUCAGUUCAGUGAACUCAUUCUCUAAUGAGCACCUACAUCUUUGUAUUAGUGUCACCGCAUAAGUGAUGGUGCCCACCCUCUCCAUCGAGCAUACAUAGGAUGUACUAGUCUUACCAGCAUCAUCGAUCUUCGACUCGAUGAUCCAAUGACUGAAAAUAUUUUAGAUUGGAGCUAUCAAGAUUUUAGAUCUCACUGGUAUGAUCUCAUCAUAACCCUAAAAUUAUUGUCCAAAUCUAUGAGAUUUAUCAUAAUCAUAUAAAUAUGAUGCAGCAAAUGAUAAAACAUAAUACCUCAUAAAAAAAUAACUAAUGCCAUACAAAUGAGUAGGAAGAUAAUAAAAAAAAUCUCUUUGCAUCUCCAUGCGAUUGGCUUGUAGGAUACUAUUCUUUCAACAAACCCAGCAAAUUAUGAUGGUUGACUACAGACUUUGUCAUUCUAUAAUGACUGAGAAAUAGUAGUUAAAAUUUUGGCAAAAAAUUCAAAAUCGCAUCUUUCUCAAGCUAUUCAUGCAAAGAAAAGUCGAGUUUGCUUAGGCAUUCAAUCUAUUCGAUCAUAUACAAUACAUGAUCGAUGACCAAUGCCCCUUCCCUCAUCCAGGCACUGAAGAUGGCACAACUAGUCUUGGGUCACUCAACAUCAUCGAGAGUAUCGAAGGAGUCAUUCAACACUUGAAGUAUGUCCUCGGACUGAGCAUCCUCGAACUUGCGACUGAACUCAUCGUUCAUCGCAGCCCGCAUAAUGCAAUGUACUAUGAUACGAUCGUUGAGCCACUUCUAAUAAGUCUUUACCACACCAUGUGCAUUCGAGGUAGGCUCCUUCGAUGCCAGAUCUGUCAGUACGUACAAGAUCUGCUCAUGCUUCAGGGUGAUUUUUAGUUUUCGAUGUCAGCUAUCCAAAUUGGAUCCCAUUAAUUUGUCACUAUCCAACAGUGAUCGAGGCGACAAGAUGGUGGCCAUAAUUGCACAAAAGAUAAAAUAAAAUCUAAUCAGUAUAUGAAUUAUUAAGCCUAAUGACAUGGACUUUAGUCUAAAGAUUCUCUCACUAUUUUUACGAAUUGAUAGCAUCUACUUUCAAUCUGAAGAAUUAUACUAAUUUUCUAGUAGAUACUAGAAUCCACACAGACUACAUACGAGCCUGACUUUGGCUGGCCCAUCCAUGUGCAUUUAUGGGUAGAUUCUUAAUCAAUUAUUUCUCCAAACAACUUCUAGUAAUUAAUUUUUUUCAAAAAUCUAAUUAGUAGGCUUUGACCUCCACUAUAAGGUUCUGAUUAGAUCCAACCAUUAAUAUAACUACUCUCAAAAAUCUAACUAACAAAUGAUUAGACCCGAUUUUGGUUGGGCCAGUCUAACUACCCAUUAUAGAGACUCAACUGAGCCAGCAUAUUAUGAAUGAUAAUUUCAAUAGUCAAUAAGCAUCAAGCCUUUGGGCCUCCAAUGAUUAUCAAACUAAUGGAUCCAUUAUCACCCAACUUAAUAGGAGGCUAUAAUCUAGUUAUCAUCAUAACUAUCUCAUUUUUAAGAUCUAAUAAUUUAGAGGGUUUGGUUAACAUAAUUUAAGAGAAAAAAAAAAGUUGACCAUCUAAUCAUAAUCCUCCCACUGAUUUCAUCAAGUCAGAUUAAAGAAGACUAGAUUCAAAUCGAUCCUGAAACCCAAAUCAAUCAUACUGAUCAACCUAUGCAGCAUGGGUUAGCAUGAAUCAAUGAGCAAUCGAAUCGAAAGCUGAUUGACCAUAUUGAUCAGAUAAGUAAGAUCAGUGAGAGGGAUAUGCCCUUAACUCGCUAUAGACUCAAUCUAUGCGAGUAGCUCCCAAUUAAUGACUAUUAGUCAAAAUUAUCAAAUUUAUCUUAGACAUCAAUUGGUUCAUCAGUUUCAAUUUGGCUUGUCUAAAGACUCGGACUCAAACACUGAGCCAUGAUCGAUGUCCAUCUUGGUCCAAUCAAAGAUAUGGACUUGACCAACUAUAACUAUUUAUUAAUUCUCAAGAAAAUCUAAUUUAAUUUAAUUCAACUUUUGAUUAGAUUUUAUCAAUUUCUCUGUUAAGUCCAUUUGAUUCUAACCUUAGGUCUAACUCAAUUAAGAGGACCUAAUCAAGCUAACCCAUAGACCCAUGUUUUAUGUGAAUGCUAUUAGAUCUUUAAUUCACAAUUCUAGAUCCAAUUUAAUCAACUAAAUUCUCAAUUAAGUGUUUGAUUUAUAUGGAUUUUUUGUUUAGAUUUAAAAUAAUUUUAAUUUUUAAUUUUAUAAAUUAUUUACAACUGAUUUAUGUAAAAAAAAUUCUAUUUUGAAACUAGGUCAGCUCAUUCCUGAACUGAGCCGGCUAACAUUAGUGGGUCGAUCAAGUUGCUACUUGAUCGGCUAACUAAUGAUGAACAGUAACUAUUACUAUUCAACCUGUGAUAACUAGGUCGGCUCAGUCAACAUUGAGCCAACUAAAUCAGGGGACUGGGUCGGCUCAGUUUAAAAUUGAGUCGGCCAAGUUUGCAUGCUAGCAGAUUUUUCAGAGUUUUAGCACAUAAAAAUUUUGUAUAAUUUGAAAUAAAAUCAAUCAUAAACGAACUUUUAGAUCAUAUCUAAAUAUUUUAUGACUCCAAAUUUUAUUUCUCAUGAUUAAAAUAAUUUUAAUCAUAUAGAUUAGAUGAUUUUAUUUUUCUUAAAAAUUAUAUUGUAUACAAUAAAUCUUAAGAUUUCAAAAAUCUAGGAUUUUACAGAAAAGUAAGUUUUCUUCCUUCUGUAUUUCAUCUUCAUGAACAAAUAGUACCUUUACACACCAUAAGAGAUCCCAUGGAAUGAGAGGCAAGGGUCAUGAAAUCUUACUUUCUCUUAUGACCGAAUGGUCACGAAAGUUCAAUCCGAUUACUAUGCUACUGGGCAUCUAAUUUAGUCAUAUCACAUAUGAUAAAAUUUAGAUCUAAUCUAAAUCAUAUCAGAUCUAAUCAAAAUUAGAUCGUAAGCAUAAAUAUUAUUUAGAUCUAAUCUAAAUAAUAGAAAAUUAGAUUUAACAUGCAUAUAUAAUUAUGUUAUGCCAAAUCUGGCUCUGAUACUACUAAAGAAAAAUCGGCAGGCAUAUAGUAUGUAUUUUUAAAAUUUUUAUGCAGUAGAAUUGAAUAGAUUAAACAAUUUAAAUCAUAAAACAUGUUUAAGAUCUAAUCUUAAUGCCUACCCUCGGACCUAUAACAUGGCAUAUAUGCAUACAAGGAUCUGAAAAUAAAAUCUGCAUGUAUGAUCGCAUCAUACACGCAUCUGUAGAUCACAUCUAUAUACAUAUAAAGUUUAGAACUUGAUAUCUGAGUGUGGGCAAAAAGAUCUUCGUGUCUGAAUCUCGAGGACUGGAAGGUUGCUCAUAGCUGCACAGGGUGUUUGGCCUCUACAGUUGAUCCACUUGAAGUCCUGUGCUGACCAAUCUUCUCAGGAAUGCUAGUUCGCACGAAGACCUCUUGAUGGCUAAACUGCUCCUAUCUUCAGAUCUCACGGACUCCUCCGAAAUCGAAGACAGACAAGGAGGAUUAGAUGAUGGGAUAAAAAGAUAGAGAACUUCUUUCUCUCUUGGUUUUUCCCUCACCAAAAAUUCUAGAUCUGAUCUAGGUAUCUCACCAAAGAGGAGAAGGUUCUCCUCUAUGCUCACAUGCCCAAGAUGGCCACCCAACCCCAAGACCUCACACCCAAAACCCUAGCCUCAAGCUGGAAACUUCUUCUUCUAUUUUCUCUCUUUCUUGUUUUGUCACACAAUACUCAAGGCUUCUUAUAGAUGGCAUGGAUAGGGAGAAAGAGUCCAAGUUCAAAUCAAAUUCAAACCAAGAUAAGGAUCAAGAUCCAUGCUAAAUUCAAAUCCAAUUUAAAUUCAACUUGAACCAAAUCUUGUCUCAUCCUUAGGGCUCUCGGAGUGGGCGACAUAAAACCUUUUAGCAUGGAGUUUCUCACACAAAUCUAAAUUGGCAUUGAGGUGUGGGUGUGCGCACAAGGGUGGUCGGCGGUAGGAAGGAGUCCAAGCUGAUUUGGACUCUUAGGUUUUAUCCAAUAAGUCUUCAACCUAAUCAAAUUAGGUUAGACCCAAUUGAAUAACUUGAACCCAAUCUAAUUAGGUUCCAAACCUGAUUAAAUCAGAAUUUAUCAAGCCCAAUUUUUGAUCAAAUCAGAAAUGAAUCUUCCUUAGCAAUUAGGUCAUUUCAUAACCUAAUCGGAUCAAAUCAAAUUGAAUCCAAUUCAAUUAAAUUGAAAUCAUAUUAUAUUGCUCAAUCAAAUUGAACUAAUCAACAAGCCAAUUGCUUAUCAAUCCUCCUUUAAUUCAUCAACCCUUAGCAAAUUAAUUUACUAUAAUAUUUGCAUCAAGUUAACCAUUAAUCAUAUUGAUGAUUAAAUCCUAAAAUGAUUCUCAAUCAUUGAUCAGCCACUUGAUUAGAUAGAAAUUUUUUUUGAGUGUGACCCUGUAGGUUCGAACCUAAGCCGGUAGCACAGAAAUAAUUUUCUGAACUAAUCAAAAUAAUCAUCUAGCAAUGAGACUUGACGUCUGGAUAGAUUAAAUGAUUGCAAAGUAAUAUUCAAGAAUCUACUGGCAUAUGGUUACUAUAUAAUUCAUCCCUUUGACCCUAAUGCUCAAGGUGACCUAGGAUUUAACUAUCAACCCUAGAAUAAUCAACCACAUUGUAUCUCAACCUUUCAAAUCUAUUACAUGGAUUAUCCUAAUCAAGAUUUUACUAAAUUAAAAUACAGUGAUGCAUUAACUCCUGAAUCCAAAGGGGUCAAUCUCAUCUUGAUUCACACUUCGACUUAACAAGUAUUUGACUGCAUCCAGAAACCUUUCAUUACUAAAUUAGAAAUUCAGAUAGUCUGGCACUAAAGUAUAAUAAAUUGCUUGUAAGUCACCAUGAUGAUCUCAGAUCGAAGAGACACUUAUAUCUAUACCCUUCGUAAGCUACUCUUGACAGUAGAGUGCUCCGCAAUUGGUCAUGUUCAGUGCAAAUAUACUCCUAUAUUUUACCUGCAUGCCAUACCAGUGUCUCCAUAAUCUUUGGUUAAGAAAAUAAUCAAUCUAUUUGGUACACAACGACCUAUACUUGAUAUUGCUAUCGUCUUAUUAAUAGCAUAUCAUUUAGCUGUGAAUAAGUUUAAGAACUAAAUAAUAAAUCUUUCUUUAUCAAUUUAAAAUAGUCCUAAAGACUUCAUCACAACACAAAAGUUCAUAUAGAAGAUAUACAAAAAAACUUAUGAUGAAUAAUGUUAAAUAAUUUUUAUUAUUAAAAAAUUUAUAUAUAAUUACAAAAUGAGUAUAAUCGUUAACAGACUGACGAUUGACUUUGAGACAUAAUUUCCAACACUACUUGCAUUAGGGCUCCUUGUAUACCUCUAUCUUUGACCACGCCUAGGAGAACCAAAGGAGCGCCAACACUUGGCAUCCUCUAGCCCUCUCCCUCACAUGCCAUAGGGAAGAAGAGGUGAGCCCCUCCUUCUUUCAUAGCAUCAUCAUGUGGGUGUGCUUGAUUUGAUUAAAUCAAGUGGUGCCCUACAAAAAAAUAAUUAAAGAAUUGAUUAGGGAUUUGAACCCCUAAUGCAUAUGAUCCAAAAUUCUAGGCACCCAAUAAUUAGAGCCCAAUAAAUCUAAUUCAUUUAGGUUCUUAGUAAGUAAUUAACUUGAAUUAAUUCUUAUCAAAUAAGAAAUUUAAGUUAAGAGAGGAAUUGGGUUCAACCUUGUGUUAACAAGGUUACUCUGAACCCAAUAGGAUUUUUCUAAAUUUAAUUGAGACUUCAUCAGUCCAAUUGUUUAAUCCAGAUCUAAUCCCUUUGUUGUGUAACCCCAUAGGUCUAAUUCUAUCUAAUAGUGAGAUAUACCAUGAUCUCUAUCAUAGUAUCAGUAAAAUCUUUUUCAAUGGAUCGAAACGAUUCCACUCUAACUCAAUAAGGAUCGUCGAUCCUGAACAAUCCUAGUGAGCUCUCACAAUCCAUCAGUGGCACCUAGUAAUAUAUAAUGACAACCCAGCGGAAUCAAAAAAAAAUCUCAAAGUAUAGUUUUCGUAUGAUUCAGCCCCUCUAUCAUGAGUUUUGAUUAGAUGGCAGGUCAUGAAUUAAUCGUCAAACCUCAUCAUCAGUCACAUGAUAGAUUCGAUCAACUCAAGUCCAAUUGUGAUUCUUAUAGAAACUUCUUUUCGCCACAAACUUACAAACUUAGCCUCUCAAAUCUCAUAGGACUAUUUUUUUCUAUCAAGAUCGAUAGAUUCUAUCUAGAUGCACAUCCUGCUCCUAUAGUAAAUUAACUAUUGCCAACAUUCACUGCAAGGACUCAAUGAGGCCAUGUUUAUAUAUCAGUAAAACUUCAGCAAUCUCACUAUGAGCAAUCAUGCCAUCGCAAGUCAAAAGUUCAUUCACACAACUACAGCAUCGAGACGAUCACUGACGAUUGAAAAGAAAUCUACGUGAUUUCUCAUAUGAUCAUGCUCAGUACUAGUUAUUCUCUAACAACUACCUACACUCAUCGCUCAAUAUUUCUACACUGUAGAUCAGAGACUCAUCUAACUCGAAGGAAGUGAUUUAUGCAUCAGUCUAUCUGGAUCGAUCACCAUCCUCAUGAUGAUGCUAUGUCCAGAAGUAAUUUAAAAAUUAAUUAUCCAUGCAUCUAAUUCUCAAUAUCUUGAAAAUAUGUAUCAUAAGUAUUAAUCCCAUGAAUGAUUCAAGGAUACAUCACACUUGAAUGAAAAUAAAAUUUAUUUUUUUAUUAAUCAAAUCAAUAUUUUAAGUAUAAAAUUAUACCUUAGAGUUCUUACAAUGUGUCGUCAUAUUGGCUUCUAAGAUAUAAUUUAACAAUAUAUCCCUAAUUAUUAUUGAAAUUUGCUUUAUCGAUGAUGAUUGUUUUUAUUAUGGAGUCAAGAUUUAUUCUUGAUGAUAUAUUUUUGUAUAAUCUCUAGUUGAUCUAGAGAAGACCUGCAGUAAUCCCAUUAUUCUAAAUAGUAAAAAAUUCAUAUUAAAAUUGUAGUGUCCUUUUUUGUAGAUUGCUUAAUUACUUUUUGCUUAUUAAUUGUCUGAGUAGAUCAUAGAGAUUAUUGUUUCUUUAUAAUAUCCUAUUUAAUUUGCAUAAACAGAGAAUAGAAGUUUAUGCUAUUAUUGUCCAUGAUUGCAUUUUUUUCCAACAUGAAGCUCAUUAGACUAGGAUCCCCGAGAUCCUUUGGCUAGAAAACAUGAAAACACCUCACUAAAUAUAGUUCUCUCUGUUACAUUUUUCUUCACCCUCCAAAGAAAGUCUCAGCUUAUUCUAUCAUUUUUUUCCAAACAAUUAUUGAUGGAAUGUUAAGACCAAUAAGAGGAGCCUUCCAACAAGAGAAAGAACAUUGUCUUUUCAUACUAGGAAGUUCCAUUCCCAAGGCAUUAAAGUGGGAAAAUAAAGAGGAAACCCUGGACAUUUAAUUAAAAACAAAUAUGAUAUUUGAAAUCCAUUGCUGUUGCUAGGUUGGAAGCUUCCACUUUAUCUAUUCCAAUAUUCCUAACUUUAAGGAUGUGUCAAAGUUGAUCCUCAGCCCUGAAACGAUACAAAAUGAAUUUUAAUAUUGAGGCAUGUUAUGCUGAUGCAUUCCAAAAGAUAAAAGAGUAUCAUCUACAAACUAAAGAAAGUGUAGUGUGCCAGUAAUUUCAUAAGGUCCAAUGCCUUUAAUGAGUUGUUCAUCAGCAACUACCUUGAGGGUUCUAUUGAGGAUAUCUAUGACUAAUGGAAAUAGAAAAGGAGAGGGAGGGUACCCUUGCUUUAAACCCUUUCUGAUCAUGAAAAAUUUAUGCAGUUUCCCAUGAUGAUCACAGUUGAUUUAGAAGAAUGAAGAAAGACAGCUAUCCAUUCACACCAACUACUUCUGAAUCUUCUUGCCUUCAAGAGACAAAGGAGAAAUUUACAAAAUAAUGUUGUCAUAGACCUUUGAAAAAAAAAUCAAUCUGAGGCAGUAUUUCCCCUGGCCUUCAUUUUUCUGCACAAUGAAAUAAUUUCUGCUGCUGCCACAUAAUUGUCCCAUUUCAUCUCCAUUUUAUAAAAUGUGACUAAGAAUAGGGCAUUAAAGAAUCUAAUUUCAGUGAGAGAUGAUUGGCCAAGUCCUUGGAAAUAAUUCUUAUGAUUCCAUUUAUUAGACUAAUAGGCCUGAAAUCCUCGAGUGACAAUUAGUCUACUUUGGAAUGAGAGUUGACAAAUUAUAUUAGAUAACGUAAAAUGCAGUGUAAUAAAAUGAAUUCUUAAAACUAUAUUAGCUAUUUCAUCCAGGGAUGAAGGAGCUGAAAUAGCAAGAUUGAAUCACAAAGGGCUUCCUUUGAUCCAGGUAAGAAUGCCAGGUAAAUCUAUCAAGUUUCGAUAGUGAUUCUUUCUUUCUAAUGUUCAUCCAGGUGGAUUUCAUAUUAGCCAAAAAUAUUUUGAGCAGAUUAUGAGCAUCAAUGAACCUGUUGAAUGUCCUUGAUGCUGAGGAUCUACUAACUCCUUUUAUGUCCAAUGACUAUUGGGUGACAUUGAAGUCACGAACUAUCAGUAAAAGACCUAAAUGCUUUAUUUGGAUAUCUUCGAGCUCUUUGAGCAAGUUGAUGCAAGAUUUUUGGUCAUAAGGCCCAGAGACAUUAGCGAGUAAUCAUUGAACUUUGUUGGACCUGAUGUUGAACAAAAUAUGUGGAGGUGUUUGGUUGGGGGAGUUGGGGUUUGGAAUUAGCAUGGAAAUGGAUGACUCCCAUUCCAACCAUUUUGUUGGGAGGAGUCUCACUUCAACUCUGAUUCAGGGGUGGAAUAGGAAUUGCUCUAUCUACCUAAAAUAAAUCCCUACUCCCUCCUAAAGAUUCAAAUUUUUAUUCUAAUUUCAAUUCUGAUUUCAGUCACGAAAAUGCUUCGAAGGAUUUGGUCAUUCCGAUUUCAAUUUCGAUUCUAAUUUAUUCUAAUUUCGAUUCUGAUUGCAAACCAAACACCCCCGAAGAAAAUUUGCAAUCCAACUAUGGAACCUAAGUACAAUGUUAGAACCAGCAAGCAAUUAGCCCACCAACCCUAUAAUGUCAACGACGUGCCACUGAUACAUGCAAAGACCACAUACUGAUUUGAGCAACUUAGAAUUAAAGUGUUCCAUCAUUAUUUCCUGAAAACAUACUAUUGCAAUGUACCAAAAAAAACAUACUAUUGCACAUGCGGAGGAUUUAACUAGAUCUCUUAUUCUUCUAUAUUUGGAUAGCGUACCCAUUCCUGUCAUGUUCUAAAGGGGACUGACAUCUAAUUUGGACGCAACAAUUUUAAGAGAUGGCACUUCCAAGUAGUGAAAGAAAUUUAUUUGAGGAAGGAGAACCACAAAGAAGAGGAAUAUUUUUGCCACUGAACAUCUAUUUUCUAUUAUUUUAUAAAUGAUAUCUAGUUUGGAUGAAAACUUCUGAAUGACAAACAUUGAACAGAAGUGUAAUACCCAACAUUUUUAAAAAAAAAUUGAAAAUAGGCACAUGCUGGAAUGAUGAUGGGAAAUAAGGCUUCCAUAAGAAAACUCCCAAAAGAGUUCUUAAUUUCCUGAUUAAAAGUCUCAAAACCACUUGAAAAUUUGGUUUAAAUCAAACUCUAAUUCCUCUCCAUUAGAGAUCUAUUUAAAGGCCUCAAUCCCUUAGUUCCCCCUCACCAAACAUUACCAUUUAAUCGCUAUUUUCUUGCCACUUUUCUUCUUGUUUUUCUUGCGGUUUACUUUGGCCAUCAAGAACCAAAUCAAUCAUAGUCGAAGUCUAGGUAAAUCUCUUUAAUUAUCUUCCCCUUAAUCUUCUAUGGGUUUUAAGCUUGAAUUUUUGCCGAUUUUCUACUAGAAAAGCUCUUGAAAUCUUGACUGCCAAUUUUCCAUGUUUUCUCCAUGCUUCGUUUUUGGUUUUCCGUCACCAGUUACCAUCGUUGGUUGCUGGACCUGGGUCAUCGGUCACCACCAUGGCCUAAUCUUCUAGCCACAAGCAUUGCCAACUGGGAGGAGACCCUCUGAUGCGGGACAACCCUAAAGAAGAGAAAAAAAAUCAAUCCUAAUGAUCAAGCUUCCUUCUGUUCAUCAACAACAAAUCACGUCCGGUCAGGGGCUCAUUAUUUUUAGGACAGACAGUAUAGUUGCCUAUACUCUGCUCAGGAGGUGUGAUUAAUUGGUACGAGAUUAAAGCAAGAUCAAUCUAAAUGAUGCAGACAAAUACCAUUCUAGAGAUUAGUAAACAACUAGCAAUAGAAAAGUCAUAAAUAGAUAGUAGAAAUUAAACAUGCUCACGAGUAAAUGCAAAAAAAAGAGAUAUGAAUGGAAUGAGAAAGAGUAAAACAUUAAACCCAUGAGAAAAAUUCAAGAAGAUGAUAAGAAUCCGGAUUGUGGUAGUUAAGAAAUUAUCCUGAUUAAGGCUCUUAAUCUUUUAACCAAACAGAUUCGUUAAUAAAGAACUAGGUCUUUACCAACAUCGGAUCGAAAAUAAAAAAAAUAAAAAUCAAGGAUCAACUAAGAAGGAAUGAAGGUCCUUGACAGCAUAUGAUAUGUAGAAUAAAAGAUCACUCUUUUCUCUCAGCACGAUAGAUAAAAAUUCUGGAGGAGAUAGAUCUCUCUUGGUGGGAUAGGCUUGGGUGGGUAGAUGGUAGAGUCGAAUCAGGAUCGUAGGAACACUGGAUCUUAAAUAGAUGAAGGUUAAAGAGAUAGGAUAGAAAGUGAGCCUCACAUCCUCCCCUUAUCGGAUGAUUUCUUUUGGGUCUCACACCUUCUCCUCUCGAAGCGAUUGACACAAGUAUUUGUGGAGUUUGUAAAAUCAUUCAUUACCCUCUUCAUGAAAGAUACAAAGAUUUAUAUAGGACUCUAGGGGUUCUAUUUCUUUAGGAAUCUUUUAUCUUUUACAAAGAAGAAAUCAAUCCUUCACAAAAAAGUAAAGCACUAUGUCUGAUUUUCAAAUAAAAUAAUCUACCAUGGGAAAGAAAUCAGCCUUCAACAAAAUAAGUAAGUAGCCAAGAACUCUUAAGGAAUCCUCGAGAAUAAAUGGAACUCCAUGUGGUC